CUGUUUUUAUUUAAUUCUUGUAACUCUUCUUCCAUAACCACUCUCCACUCGGGUGAUUUAAAAGUCUUCUUUACAAAUUUUGGUUCUUCCACAUUUGCUAAUAUAGAAAUCAAAUUGAUAAUAUACAAAUUUAUAUGGAACGAGAAGAGAGGCAUCGGUUGGAAGCACAUGGUGAGGCCAAAGGAUGAAGGUGGGAUAACACUUCGAGACCUACAUCUCCUCAACAUAGCAUAUGC
Molecule: long non-coding RNA, 236 nt
Filed under: Zostera marina
Lineage: Eukaryota; Viridiplantae; Streptophyta; Magnoliopsida; Alismatales; Zosteraceae
Description: long non-coding RNA (ZMAR_LNC001904)
Source: RNAcentral